RNAcentral lists this ribosomal RNA (607 nucleotides) under Oigolaimella trilineata. RNAcentral's name for it is "partial large subunit ribosomal RNA". It matches the Rfam family "Eukaryotic large subunit ribosomal RNA", at positions 363 to 808 of the family's 3401-position model. The record is from RNAcentral. Lineage: Eukaryota; Metazoa; Nematoda; Chromadorea; Rhabditida; Diplogasteridae.
GUUGCAAAGAACUUUGAAGAGAGAGUUCAAGAGUACGUGAAACCAUUGUGGAGUAAUCGGAUGGAGUGGAUUAUAUCGCUGACAUUCAUACUUCGCGUUGCUGCUUGGCGUGAUGCUUCGAGGCUGCUGUCUGUGCUUCGGUGUUGCGUUUGUGGCGGUGAGUGCGGUGUGCAUUUGUUGGUGAUAACGCGGAGACGCUCGCUAUCCUCUUCUGAACCUUUUAGUGUGGCCCUUGCUUCGGCUCGGUAACCUGCUAUUUGGGGAGGUUGGUAUGGGUGGUGAGUUGUAAGCAGGCUGGCCUUUGCGCUGGGUUCGUGGUGCUGCCGGCGUUGACGUUGCGAGCUGCUUCGCUCGUGGCUGAUGCGUUAGUGGUUGCUGCGUUCCUGGAGCGGCUGUCCUCUCCGUGGGAACGUCCAUUACCCAUUUGACCCGUCUUGAAACACGGACCAAGAAGUUUAGCAAGUGCGCGAGUCAAUGGGUUGUAAACCUACUGGCGAAAUGAAAGUAAAGGCUUGCUUGUCAGGCUGACAUGAGAUCCGUGCGUAAGCGCGGCGCAUCAUGGCCCCAUGCAGAUUGCUUGCAAUUGUGUGGCGGUAGAGCGUACUUG